UUCUUAUAACCUUAUUAUAAGUAAAAUCUGCUCAAUGCCAUAUAAAUAGCCGCAGAACUUUAACUGUGCUAAGGUAGCAUAAUCAUUUACCUUUUAAUUAAAGGUUUGUAUGAAUGAUUUAACAUUUAAAUAACUUUUUUAUUCAUUAAAAUUUAACUUAAACUAGACAUAAAAAUGUUUCUAUAAAAUAAAAAGACGACAAGACCCUAAUGAACUUUACUCAUGUUAAGCUGGGGAAGCUAGCCAAAUAUAAUUUUGACUUAAUUACUUACAAAACUUUCUGGACCAACCAAACUUAACAAGUUACCAUAGGGAUAACAGCGUAAUAAUUUUUUAAAGCUCUUAUUAAAAAAAAAGAUUACGACCUCGAUGUUGAAUUAGAAUUUCUAUAAAUCGCAAUAGUACUAAAAGUGGGUCUGUUCGACCCUUAAAUUUCUACA
Molecule: ribosomal RNA, 440 nt
Filed under: Troglohyphantes croaticus
Lineage: Eukaryota; Metazoa; Arthropoda; Arachnida; Araneae; Linyphiidae
Description: partial large subunit ribosomal RNA
Rfam family: Bacterial large subunit ribosomal RNA
Source: RNAcentral